AGGAUGAACGCUGGCGGCGUGCUUAACACAUGCAAGUCGAACGAUCCUUCGGGAUAGUGGCGGACGGGUGAGUAACGCGUGGGAAUCUGCCCUUAGGAGGGGGAUAACGGCUGGAAACGGCCGCUAAUACCCCAUAUGCCGAGAGGUGAAACGAAUUUCGCCUGAGGAUGAGCCCGCGUCUGAUUAGCUAGUUGGUGGGGUAAAGGCCUACCAAGGCGACGAUCAGUAGCUGGUCUGAGAGGAUGAUCAGCCACACUGGGACUGAGACACGGCCCAGACUCCUACGGGAGGCAGCAGUGGGGAAUUUUCCGCAAUGGGCGAAAGCCUGACGGAGCAACGCCGCGUGAGGGAUGAAGGCCUCUGGGCUGUAAACCUCUUUUCUCAAGGAAGAAGAACUGACGGUACUUGAGGAAUAAGCCACGGCUAAUUCCGUGCCAGCAGCCGCGGUAAUACGGGAGUGGCAAGCGUUAUCCGGAAUUAUUGGGCGUAAAGCGUCCGCAGGCGGCCUUGUAAGUCUGUUGUUAAAGCGUGGAGCUCAACUCCAUUUAAGCAAUGGAAACUACAAGGCUGGAGUGUGGUAGGGGCAGAGGGAAUUCCCGGUGUAGCGGUGAAAUGCGUAGAUAUCGGGAAGAACACCAGUGGCGAAGGCGCUCUGCUGGGCCAUAACUGACGCUCAUGGACGAAAGCCAGGGGAGCGAAAGGGAUUAGAUACCCCUGUAGUCCUGGCCGUAAACGAUGAACACUAGGUGUCGGGGGAAUCGACCCCCUCGGUGUCGUAGCCAACGCGUUAAGUGUUCCGCCUGGGGAGUACGCACGCAAGUGUGAAACUCAAAGGAAUUGACGGGGGCCCGCACAAGCGGUGGAGUAUGUGGUUUAAUUCGAUGCAACGCGAAGAACCUUACCAGGGUUUGACAUCCUGCGAAUCCCUUGGAAACGAGGGAGUGCCUUCGGGAGCGCAGUGACAGGUGGUGCAUGGCUGUCGUCAGCUCGUGUCGUGAGAUGUUGGGUUAAGUCCCGCAACGAGCGCAACCCACGUCUUUGGUUGCCAGCAUUCAGUUGGGCACUCUAGAGAGACCGCCGGUGAUAAACCGGAGGAAGGUGUGGAUGACGUCAAGUCAUCAUGCCCCUUACAUCCUGGGCUACACACGUACUACAAUGCUACGGACAAAGGGCAGCAAGCUCGCGAGAGUUAGCAAAUCCCAUAAACCGUGGCUCAGUUCAGAUCGUAGGCUGCAACUCGCCCACGUGAAGGAGGAAUCGCUAGUAAUCGCAGGUCAGCAUACUGCGGUGAAUACGUUCCCGGGCCUUGUACACACCGCCCGUCACACCAUGGAAGUUGGCCAUGCCCGAAGUCGUUACUCCAACCCUUGUGGAGGAGGACGCCGAAGGUGGGGCUGAUGACUGGGGUGAAGU
This 1413-nucleotide ribosomal RNA is filed under the name metagenome. RNAcentral describes it as "bacterial SSU rRNA". It matches the Rfam family "Bacterial small subunit ribosomal RNA". The record is from RNAcentral.